Non-coding RNA from Prunus mume (Japanese apricot), 4974 nucleotides. NCBI's taxonomy places the organism in Eukaryota, Viridiplantae, Streptophyta, Magnoliopsida, Rosales, Rosaceae. The record is from RefSeq and is a predicted model, not a curated record.
CAGCGAUGUUUUGUUAAUGUUGUUAUAACAUCCAAAGUACCGGCGGUUGAGUCCGUACAACGACUUUCUCUACUGGUCAAGAGCGUCUCUAAAACGUAGCUGUCACGAAAACUGCUCUUGGCGGCCGUCUUUAGAAAACGGUGGGGAAACUUCAAGUGAUUAACAGAACCAGGCUGUCUGUGUCGGAUUAGAUCGAAACCGUUUUUGUUGGCGCGGUUGUUAGAAACCGUUGUCUUCUGUCUGUUGCGGCGGUUUUUAGAAAACCGUUGGGCCUGUUGAGAGUCCUUAAGGAGUUGUUAUACCAACAGUCGUGAUAAUAUCUGGAUCGAAAUGGCGGCGGCUUUAGCCGGGGAUGAUCUGGCGCGGUCGACCAGCAGCCGGAGGAGCUGGACCUCCGGGAGCAAGCGGAGCUGGGCCUCCACGAGCUUCCGGGAGGUGUGGCAGGCGCCGCCGGAUGUGUUCAACCGGAGCGGGCGGCAGGAUGAGGAGGAAGAACUCCGGUGGGCCGCGAUCGAGCGGCUGCCGACUUAUGAUCGGUUGAGAAGAGGGAUGCUGAGGCAGGUGCUUGACAAUGGCAAAGUGGUGACUGAUGAGGUGGAUGUGACCAAGCUGGGAAUGCAGGAUAAGAAGCAGUUGAUGGAGAGCAUAUUGAAGGUUGUGGAAGAUGACAAUGAAAGGUUUUUGAGGAGACUUAGGGACAGAACUGAUAGGGUGGGGAUUGAGAUUCCGAAGAUUGAUAUUCGGUUCGAGAAACUGUCCAUCGAAGGAGAUGUAUAUGUUGGGAGCAGAGCACUGCCUACUCUGCUUAAUGCUACCUUGAACACUAUUGAGAGUGUUCUGGGAUUGAUUAAGCUUGCUCCAUCAAAGAAGAGAAAUAUCCAGAUACUUAAAGACGUUAGUGGAAUAGUGAGACCCUCCAGGAUGACCCUACUACUGGGUCCUCCAGGUGCAGGCAAAACAACCUUGUUACUGGCACUUGCAGGGAAGCUUGAUGAUGACCUAAGGGUGUCUGGGAAAAUCACCUACUGUGGUCAUGAGUUGAAUGAGUUUGUUCCCAAGAGGACAUGUGCUUAUAUCAGUCAACAUGAUCUUCACUAUGGAGAGAUGACAGUGAGAGAGACAUUAGAUUUCUCAGGGCGGUGUUUGGGUGUGGGAAGUAGAUAUCAAAUGUUGGCAGAACUCUCAAGAAGAGAGAAAGAAGCAGGAAUUAAGCCAGACCCUGAGAUUGAUGCAUUCAUGAAAGCCACCUCAGUGUCAGGCCAGAAGACUAGUUUGGUCACAGAUUAUGUUCUCAAGAUACUUGGAUUGGAUAUCUGUGCUGAUAUUAUGGUUGGUGAUGAUAUGAGAAGGGGUAUUUCUGGCGGCCAGAAAAAGCGUGUGACGACUGGGGAGAUGUUGGUAGGACCAGCAAAGGUUCUUUUGAUGGAUGAAAUUUCAACAGGGUUAGACAGUUCCACUACCUUUCAGAUAUGCAGAUACAUGAGGCAAUUGGUUCACAUAAUGGAUGUAACCAUGGUCAUCUCUCUUCUUCAGCCAGCACCAGAGACAUUUGAGCUGUUUGAUGACCUUAUCUUACUUUCCGAAGGUCAGAUUGUGUACCAAGGCCUGCGCGAGAGUGUCCUAGAGUUCUUUGAAUACAUGGGCUUCAAAUGCCCUGAAAGGAAAGGAGUUGCUGACUUUUUGCAAGAAGUAACAUCCAAGAAGGACCAAGAACAAUAUUGGUUUAAGAAGGACCAACCUUAUAGAUAUAUUGCAGUUCCUGAGUUUGUUGAAUCCUUCAGCUCUUUUCGCACUGGCCAACAGCUUGCAGCUGAUCUUGGAGUUCCUUAUGACAAGUCCAGGGCUCAUCCAGCUGCACUGGUAACUGAGAAAUAUGGUAUUUCAAACUGGGAAUUGUUCAAGGCAUGUUUUUCAAGGGAGUGGCUGCUAAUGAAGCGCAAUUCUUUCGUAUACGUGUUCAAGACCACCCAGAUAACAAUCAUGUCACUGAUUGCCCUUACUGUGUUCCUUAGGACAGAAAUGCCAGUGGGCACAGUACAAGAUGGAGGAAAAUUUUUCGGUGCACUGUUUUUCAGUCUGAUUAAUGUGAUGUUUAAUGGUAUGGCUGAACUGGCAAUGACAGUUUUCAGGCUUCCUGUUUUCUAUAAGCAGAGGGAUUUCUUGUUUUAUCCUGCAUGGGCUUUUGGAUUGCCUAUUUGGGUCCUCAGGAUCCCCCUAUCAUUUAUGGAAUCAGGGAUAUGGAUCAUUCUUACCUAUUACACCAUUGGAUUUGCUCCAGCUGCUAGCAGAUUUUUCAAACAGUUCUUGGCAUUCUUUGGCAUACAUCAGAUGGCUCUGUCACUCUUUCGGUUCAUUGCUGCACUGGGAAGAACACAAGUUGUUGCAAAUACACUUGGCACCUUUACUUUGCUAAUGGUAUUUGUGCUGGGCGGAUUUAUUGUUGCCAAAAACGACCUUGAGCCUUGGAUGUUAUGGGGCUACUAUGUCUCUCCUAUGAUGUAUGGACAGAAUGCAAUCGUCAUGAACGAAUUUCUCGAUAAAAGAUGGAGUGCACCAAAUCCAGAUCCGAGAAUUAAUGAAACUACAGUUGGGAGAGUCCUCCUCAAGUCUAGAGGAUUCUUCACAGAUGAAUAUUGGUAUUGGAUAUGUGUUGGAGCACUAUUUGGGUUUUCUUUUCUCUUCAACAUUUUCUUCAUUGCAGCAUUGACUUUUCUGAACCCUCUUGGAGAUACAAAAGCUGUCAUAGCUGAUGAUGAAUAGUUUUUGGUUUCUUUUCCAUCAAAAGUUUGAGCAUUCUGACGGAAAAGGACAUCAAUUACAGAUAUAGAUAUGGCAGUGAAAAGUUAUUCAGAAAUUGUUGGUGGUUCAGAUCAUGCACCAAAGAAAGGAAUGGUUUUGCCCUUCCAACCCCUUUCACUUGCGUUUAACCAUGUGAACUACUACGUGGAUAUGCCUGCUGAAAUGAAGAGUCAAGGAGUUGAAGAAGAUCGCCUUCAACUGCUACGAGAUGUCAGCGGUGCUUUUAGACCAGGCAUAUUGACAGCACUUGUAGGUGUUAGUGGUGCUGGAAAGACAACUCUUAUGGACGUCUUAGCGGGAAGAAAGACUGGUGGCUAUAUUGAAGGGAGCAUUAGCAUCUCUGGUUAUCCAAAGAACCAAGAAACAUUUGCUCGUGUUAGCGGUUAUUGUGAACAGAAUGACAUUCAUUCGCCUCAUGUUACCGUCUACGAAUCUCUCCUGUAUUCAGCCUGGCUCCGUCUUACUUCAGAAGUAAAGACACAAACACGAAAGAUGUUUGUUGAAGAAGUCAUGGAACUGGUUGAGCUUAACCCAAUAAGAGAUGCUCUCGUUGGCCUUCCAGGAAUAGAUGGUCUUUCAACAGAACAAAGGAAGAGAUUAACCAUAGCUGUGGAGCUGGUUGCCAACCCCUCUAUCAUUUUCAUGGAUGAACCAACAUCUGGGCUUGAUGCCAGGGCUGCUGCUAUUGUUAUGCGUACUGUGAGAAACACAGUGGACACGGGGAGAACUGUCGUCUGCACAAUUCACCAGCCAAGUAUAGAUAUUUUUGAAGCUUUCGAUGAGUUACUUCUGAUGAAACGUGGAGGACAAGUCAUUUAUGCUGGACCUCUCGGUCGCCAAUCUCACAAGCUUGUAGAAUAUUUUGAAGCCGUCCCAGGGGUCACUAAGAUCAAAGAUGGUUACAAUCCUGCUACAUGGAUGCUUGAGGUCACUGCUCCUGCAGUUGAGGCUCAACUUGAUGUGGACUUUGCAGACAUUUAUGCCAACUCCUCACUUUACCAGAGGAACCAGGAACUUAUCAAAGAUCUUAGUACUGCGGCGCCAGGGUCCAAGGAUCUCUACUUCCCAACCAAAUACUCCCAACCUUUCUCUGUUCAGUGCAAAGCCUCUUUCUGGAAAAUGCAUUGGUCUUAUUGGAGAAACCCUCAGUACAAUGCCAUUCGAUUCUUUAUGACAAUAGUCAUUGGUUGUUUAUUUGGUCUUAUCUUCUGGCAAAAGGGACAGCAGACAACCCAACAGCAAGAUCUCAUGAACCUUUUGGGAGCCAUGUAUGCUGCUGUGCUUUUCCUUGGAGCCACCAAUGCUUCCGCGGUCCAAUCUGUUGUUGCUAUCGAAAGAACAGUUUUCUACCGCGAAAGAGCUGCCGGGAUGUAUUCUGAACUGCCUUAUGCAUUUGCUCAGGUGGCCAUAGAGACAAUCUAUGUUGCAAUUCAAACUUUUAUUUACACUCUUCUCCUCUAUUCUAUGAUUGGAUUUGAGUGGAAAGUAGGCAAAUUCCUGUGGUUCUACUACUACAUUCUAAUGUGCUUCGUCUACUUCACAAUGUAUGGUAUGAUGGUGGUUGCACUAACUCCAGGCCACCAGAUUGCUGCCAUUGUUAUGUCCUUCUUCCUCAGUUUCUGGAACUUGUUUUCCGGCUUUCUCAUUCCUAGGCCGCAAAUUCCUAUCUGGUGGAGGUGGUACUACUGGGCUUCACCUGUGGCCUGGACACUUUAUGGCCUUGUGACCUCUCAAGUGGGUGACAAAAAUGCUGAUCUUGUGCUACCUGGAUAUGGUACCAUGCCAUUGAAGAAGUUCCUCAAGGAUGACUUGGGUUUUGAGCAUGACUUCCUGCCAGCUGUCGCCGCAGCACACGUUGGCUGGGUUCUGCUUUUCUUCUUUGUGUUCGCCUAUGGCAUCAAGUUCCUCAACUUCCAAAGGAGAUAAAUAAACAGCUUCACUUCUACAAUUCUCAGAGUCUUAGAAAAAUAGGAUAGUAUUUUCUGUUAAUCAAGGAUGAGGGAAACAAAACAGUUGCCCCAUUUUUGUGUAUUAUGGCAUUCUUUUGUCCUGGUUUUUCUACAUGAGCGGUUACAAUUUAGGUAUAAUAGGCACAGGCAAAAUGCUUUGAUGUAAACUGAGUAUUGUUUGUGCUAUAUAAUUUACUGUAUCCAAAAUGAGAUCUAUUAUUUUUCU